Molecule: ribosomal RNA, 1298 nt
Filed under: Latilactobacillus sakei
Lineage: Bacteria; Bacillati; Bacillota; Bacilli; Lactobacillales; Lactobacillaceae
Description: bacterial SSU rRNA
Rfam family: Bacterial small subunit ribosomal RNA
Source: RNAcentral
CAUUUGGAAACAGAUGCUAAUACCGCAUAAAACCUAACACCGCAUGGUGUAGGGUUGAAAGAUGGUUUCGGAAUCACUUUAGGAUGGACCCGCGGUGCAUUAGUUAGUUGGUGAGGUAAAGGCUCACCAAGACCGUGAUGCAUAGCCGACCUGAGAGGGUAAUCGGCCACACUGGGACUGAGACACGGCCCAGACUCCUACGGGAGGCAGCAGUAGGGAAUCUUCCACAAAUGACGAAAGUCUGAUGGAGCAACGCCGCGUGAGUGAAGAAGGUUUUCGGAUCGUAAAACUCUGUUGUUGGAGAAGAAUGUAUCUGAUAGUAACUGAUCAGGUAGUGACGGUAUCCAACCAGAAAGCCACGGCUAACUACGUGCCAGCAGCCGCGGUAAUACGUAGGUGGCAAGCGUUGUCCGGAUUUAUUGGGCGUAAAGCGAGCGCAGGCGGUUUCUUAAGUCUGAUGUGAAAGCCUUCGGCUCAACCGAAGAAGUGCAUCGGAAACUGGGAAACUUGAGUGCAGAAGAGGACAGUGGAACUCCAUGUGUAGCGGUGAAAUGCGUAGAUAUAUGGAAGAACACCAGUGGCGAAGGCGGCUGUCUGGUCUGUAACUGACGCUGAGGCUCGAAAGCAUGGGUAGCAAACAGGAUUAGAUACCCUGGUAGUCCAUGCCGUAAACGAUGAGUGCUAGGUGUUGGAGGGUUUCCGCCCUUCAGUGCCGCAGCUAACGCAUUAAGCACUCCGCCUGGGGAGUACGACCGCAAGGUUGAAACUCAAAGGAAUUGACGGGGGCCCGCACAAGCGGUGGAGCAUGUGGUUUAAUUCGAAGCAACGCGAAGAACCUUACCAGGUCUUGACAUCCUUUGACCACUCUAGAGAUAGAGCUUUCCCUUCGGGGACAAAGUGACAGGUGGUGCAUGGUUGUCGUCAGCUCGUGUCGUGAGAUGUUGGGUUAAGUCCCGCAACGAGCGCAACCCUUAUUACUAGUUGCCAGCAUUUAGUUGGGCACUCUAGUGAGACUGCCGGUGACAAACCGGAGGAAGGUGGGGACGACGUCAAAUCAUCAUGCGCCUUAUGACCUGGGCUACACACGUGCUACAAUGGAUGGUACAACGAGUUGCGAGACCGCGAGGUUUAGCUGCCUCUUAAAACCAUUCUCAGUUCGGAUUGUAGGCUGCAACUCGCCUACAUGAAGCCGGAAUCGCUAGUAAUCGCGGAUCAGCAUGCCGCGGUGAAUACGUUCCCGGGCCUUGUACACACCGCCCGUCACACCAUGAGAGUUUGUAACACCCAAAGCCGGUGAG